RNAcentral lists this unclassified non-coding RNA (384 nucleotides) under soil metagenome. RNAcentral's name for it is "partial contains 5.8S ribosomal RNA, internal transcribed spacer 2, and large subunit ribosomal RNA". The stretch from base 1 to 120 matches the Rfam family "5.8S ribosomal RNA", at positions 35 to 154 of the family's 154-position model. The record is from RNAcentral.
GAUGAAGAACGUAGCGAAAUGCGAUAGGUAAUGUGAAUUGCAGAAUUCAGUGAAUCAUCGAAUCUUUGAACGCACAUUGCGCCCUUUGGUAUUCCUUAGGGCAUGCCUGUUCGAGCGUCACUACACACCUUAUCACAAUAUUUGUGGUCUUGGCAGGAGUGAAUUGCUGGUCUAUGGAAGUAUUCCAGCAGUACACAAUGCUAAAAAAUAUGGGAAGGUUACCAGAUAUGAACAACAGACUUUGUAAAUGGUUGUAGGACCUAGAUCAGUCACAAGACAUGUCUGGUCCCUUACCUUAAGGACCCCCAUCCUAGAUGAACUAUGGGUUGACCUCGGAUCAGGUAGGAAUACCCGCUGAACUUAAGCAUAUCAAUAAGCGGAGGA